Molecule: long non-coding RNA, 110 nt
Organism: Etheostoma cragini (Arkansas darter)
Lineage: Eukaryota; Metazoa; Chordata; Actinopteri; Perciformes; Percidae
Exons: 3
Source: RefSeq, a predicted model, not a curated record
AAAAUAUGACUGCAGUGCUCAAAAUAGCACCACACUUCCACAUAGCGUAAUGAGGGUCCCUACAUGGUAACCAAAGCAUUGAGAACGUUUUAAGUGUACAGAUAGUUAAU